AACGCACCUUGCGCUCCUUGGUAUUCCGAGGAGCAUGCCUGUUUGAGUGUCUUGAAGUCAUCAACCCCACCGGUUUUGAACCGGGGAAGGUUGGAUUAUGGGGGCUUGCUGCCGCGAGGCUGCUCCCCUCAAAUGCGUCGGUUGGACCUGCGGGUCGGACUCGAUUGGGCGUUGUAUCAUCCUCGCUCUGACCGAGAAGUUCCCCUUCCGUGUCCUCCCACGACUCACCUUUGGAGAGGUGGUCAACACUCUUUGAAAUCUGACCUCAAAUCAGGUAGGACUACCCGCUGAACUUAA
This 297-nucleotide unclassified non-coding RNA is filed under the name uncultured Agaricomycetes. Its description in RNAcentral is "sequence contains ITS2". The stretch from base 1 to 52 matches the Rfam family "5.8S ribosomal RNA", at positions 103 to 154 of the family's 154-position model. Lineage: Eukaryota; Fungi; Basidiomycota; Agaricomycetes. The record is from RNAcentral.